GGUUUGAUCAUGGUCAGAUUGAACGCUGGCGGGAUGCUUUACAUGCAAGUCGAACGGCAGCACGGACUUCGGUCUGGUGGCGAGUGGCAGACAGGUGAGUAAUGUAUCGGAACGUGCCUAGUAGCGGGGGAUAACUACGCGAAAGCGUAGCUAAUACCGCAGCAUACGCCCUUCGGGGAAAGCGGGGACCUUCCCGGGCCUCGCACUAUUAGAGCGGCCGAUAUCGGAUUAGCUAGUUGGUGGGGUAACGGCUCACCAAGGCGACGAUCCGUAGCUGGUUUGAGAGAGUUGACCAGCCACACUGGGACUGAGACACGGCCCAGACUCCUACGGGGGGCAACGGUGAAAUUUUGGACAAUGGAAACCUGAUCCAGCCAUCCCGCGUGUGCGAUGAAGGCCUUCGGGUUGUAAAGCACUUUUGGCAGGAAAGAAACGGCACGGGAUAAUACCCCGUGCAACUGACGGUACCUACCCAGAAUAAGCACCGACAACACGUGCCAGCAGCCGGUAAUACGUAGGGUGCAAGCGUUAAUCGGAAUUACUGGGCGUAAAGCGUGCGCAGGCGGUUCGGAAAGAAAGAUGUGAAAUCCCAGAGCUUAACUUUGGAACGUUUUAACUACCGAGCUAGAGUGUGUCAGAGGGAGGUGGAAUUCCGCGUGUAGCAGUGAAAUGCGUAGAUAUGCGGAGGAACACCGGUGGCGAGGCAGCCUCCUGGGAUAACACUGACGCUCAUGCACGAAAGCGUGGGAGCAAACAGGAUUAGAUACCCUGGUAGUCCACGCCCUAAACGAUGUCAACUAGCUGUUGGGGCCUUCGGGCCUUGGUAGCGCAGCUAACGCGUGAAGUUGACCGCCUGGGAAAUACGGUCGCAAGAUUAAAACUCAAAGGAAUUGACGGGGACCCGCACAAGCGGUGGAUGAUGUAUGGAUUAAUUCGAUGCAACGCGAAAAACCUUACCUACCCUUGACAUGUCUGGAAUCCCGAAGAGAUUUGGGGAGUGCUCGCAAAGAGAACCGGAACACAGGUGCUGCAUGGCUGUCGUCAGCUCGUGUCGUGAGAUGUUGGGUUAAGUCCCGCAACAGGCGCAACCCUUGUCAUUAGUUGCUACGAAAGGGCACUCUAAUGAGACUGCCGGUGACAAACCGGAGGAAGGUGGGGAUGACGUCAAGUCCUCAUGGCCCUUAUGGGUAGGGCUUCACACGUCAUACAAUGGUCGGGACGGAAAUGCGCCAACCCGCGAGGGGGAGCCAAUCCCAGGAAACCCGAUCGUAGUCCGGAUCGCAGUCUGCAACUCGACUGCGUGAAGUCCAGAUCGCUAGUAAUCGCGGAUCAGCAUGUCGCGGUGAAUACGUUCCCGGGUCUUGUACACACCGCCCGUCACACCAUGGGAGUGGGUUUUUUACCAGAAGUAGUUAGCUAACCGUAAGGAGGGCGAUUACCACGGUAGGAUUCAUGACUGGGGUGAAGUCGUAACAAGGUAA
Molecule: ribosomal RNA, 1481 nt
Filed under: uncultured Bordetella sp.
Lineage: Bacteria; Pseudomonadati; Pseudomonadota; Betaproteobacteria; Burkholderiales; Alcaligenaceae
Description: partial 16S-23S ribosomal RNA intergenic spacer
Rfam family: Bacterial small subunit ribosomal RNA
Source: RNAcentral